This 136-nucleotide ribosomal RNA is filed under the name Echinops telfairi (small Madagascar hedgehog). Lineage: Eukaryota; Metazoa; Chordata; Mammalia; Afrosoricida; Tenrecidae. The record is from RNAcentral.
GUCUACGGCCAUAGCACCCAGAACACGCCCGAUCUGGUCUGAUCUUGGAAGCUAAGCAGGCUGGGGCCUGGUUACUACGUGGAUGGGAGAAAAUGCUACAGGCUACACAUAAGACGUGACAAGGUCGGAGUGGACU